GGAAUAUUGGACAAUGGGCGAAAGCCUGAUCCAGCCAUGCCGCGUGUGUGAAGAAGGUCUUCGGAUUGUAAAGCACUUUAAGUUGGGAGGAAGGGUAUUAACCUAAUACGUUAGUACUUUGACGUUACCGACAGAAUAAGCACCGGCUAACUCUGUGCCAGCAGCCGCGGUAAUACAGAGGGUGCAAGCGUUAAUCGGAAUUACUGGGCGUAAAGCGCGCGUAGGUGGUUUGUUAAGUUGAAUGUGAAAUCCCCGGGCUCAACCUGGGAACUGCAUCCAAAACUGGCAAGCUAGAGUAUGGUAGAGGGUAGUGGAAUUUCCUGUGUAGCGGUGAAAUGCGUAGAUAUAGGAAGGAACACCAGUGGCGAAGGCGACUACCUGGACUGAUACUGACACUGAGGUGCGAAAGCGUGGGGAGCAAACAGGAUUAGAUACCCGAG
RNAcentral lists this ribosomal RNA (440 nucleotides) under uncultured Pseudomonas sp. RNAcentral describes it as "bacterial SSU rRNA". It matches the Rfam family "Bacterial small subunit ribosomal RNA", at positions 358 to 790 of the family's 1533-position model. Lineage: Bacteria; Pseudomonadati; Pseudomonadota; Gammaproteobacteria; Pseudomonadales; Pseudomonadaceae. The record is from RNAcentral.